UUGUUGGUGGGGUAAUGGCCUACCAAGGCGACGAUCAGUAGCGGGUCUGAGAGGAUGAUCCGCCACACUGGAACUGAGACACGGUCCAGACUCCUACGGGAGGCAGCAGUGGGGAAUUUUGGACAAUGGGGGCAACCCUGAUCCAGCCAUUCCGCGUGAGUGAAGAAGGCCUUCGGGUUGUAAAGCUCUUUCAGCCGGAACGAAACGGUAUGUCUUAAUACGAUGUGCUAAUGACGGUACCGGCAGAAGAAGCACCGGCUAACUACGUGCCAGCAGCCGCGGUAAUACGUAGGGUGCGAGCGUUAAUCGGAAUUACUGGGCGUAAAGCGUGCGCAGGCGGAUUGUUAAGCAAGAUGUGAAAUCCCCGGGCUUAACCUGGGAAUGGCAUUUUGAACUGGCAGUCUAGAGUGUGUCAGAGGGGGGUGGAAUUCCACGUGUAGCAGUGAAAUGCGUAGAUAUGUGGAGGAACACCAAUGGCGAAGGCAGCCCCCUGGGAUAACACUGACGCUCAUGUACGAAAGCGUGGGUAGCAAACAGGAUUAGAUACCCUGGUAGUCCACGCCCUAAACGAUGUCAACUGGUUGUUGGGGGAGUGAAAUCCCUUAGUAACGAAGCUAACGCGUGAAGUUGACCGCCUGGGGAGUACGGUCGCAAGAUUAAAACUCAAAGGAAUUGACGGGGACCCGCACAAGCGGUGGAUGAUGUGGAUUAAUUCGAUGCAACGCGAAAAACCUUACCUACCCUUGACAUGUCCAGAAUCCUGCAGAGAUGCGGGAGUGCCCGAAAGGGAAUUGGAACACAGGUGCUGCAUGGCUGUCGUCAGCUCGUGUCGUGAGAUGUUGGGUUAAGUCCCGCAACGAGCGCAACCCUUAUCAUUAGUUGCUACGCAAGGGCACUCUAAUGAGACUGCCGG
RNAcentral lists this ribosomal RNA (913 nucleotides) under uncultured bacterium. RNAcentral's name for it is "bacterial SSU rRNA". It matches the Rfam family "Bacterial small subunit ribosomal RNA", at positions 246 to 1155 of the family's 1533-position model. The record is from RNAcentral.